RNAcentral lists this ribosomal RNA (489 nucleotides) under Pseudopontonides plumosus. Its description in RNAcentral is "partial small subunit ribosomal RNA". The record is from RNAcentral. Lineage: Eukaryota; Metazoa; Arthropoda; Malacostraca; Decapoda; Palaemonidae.
UUAAUUUAUUGCAAAUAAUAGGUGGAAUUUCUAAUUUUAGUUAAAUUUUUUGUUGUAUUUUUCAUUUAGAGGCUACUAAGAUUAGGGUUUAGACUAGGAUUAGAUACCCUAUUAUUCCUAAUUUUAAAAAUUUUUGCUUGAGUAGUAACAGUUAUUUUCUUGAAAUUUAAAGGAUUUGGCGGUAUUUUAGUCUAGUUAGAGGAACCUGUGCAGUAAUCGAUAAUCCACGCAGCAUCUUACUUUUAUUUGCUUAAUUUGCAUACCGCCGUUAAUAAGUGUAGCUUAUAAGUUAAUACUGAAAUAUACAUGUAUAUAAAAUCUCAGGUCAAGGCGCAGUCUAUAUAAAAGUUGUCAUGGGUUACAAUAUUUUAAUAUUUGGAUAAAAGGUUGAAAUACUUUUUUGAAAUAGGAUUUAAUUGUAUUUUUGUUUUAAUAAGGCAGAUUGAUAUUAGCUCUAAAAUGUGUACAUAUUGCCCGUCGCUCUCACCC